GAUGAACGCUGGCGGCGUGCCUAAUACAUGCAAGUCGAGCGAAUGGAUUAAGAGCUUGCUCUUAUGAAGUUAUCGGCGGACGGGUGAGUAACACGUGGGUAACCUGCCCAUAAGACUGGGAUAGCUACGGGAAACAGGCGAUAAUACCGAACAACAUUUUGAACAGCAUGGUUCGAAAUUGAAAGGAGACGUUGGCCGUCACUUAUGAAUGAACCCGCGUCGCAUUAGCUGGUUGGUGAGGUAACGGCUCACCAAGGCAACGAUGCGUAGCCGGCCUGAGAGGGUGAUCGGCCACACUGGGACUGAGACACGGCCCAGACUCCUACGGGAGGCAGCAGUAGGGAAUCUUCCGCAAUGGGCGAAAGUCUGACGGAGCAACGCCGCGUGAGUGAUGAAGGCUUUCGGGUCGUAAAACUCUGUUGUUAGGGAAGAACAAGUGCUAGUUGAAUAAGCUGGCACCUUGACGGUACCUAACCAGAAAGCCACGGCUAACUACGUGCCAGCCGCCGCGGUAA
Molecule: ribosomal RNA, 515 nt
Filed under: uncultured bacterium
Lineage: Bacteria
Description: partial 16S ribosomal RNA
Rfam family: Bacterial small subunit ribosomal RNA
Source: RNAcentral